UUCACCUCGGCUCACUCUUGGCAUUGUCACUGCAUAGGUUUGGGCAGCUCCUCCCUCCCUCCUCAUGAGCCCUUGGCAAACACAGGACCAUUGACUAUCUCUAUAGUUUUGCCUUUUCCAGAACGUCAUUUAUUUGAUGGGAACGACAGUGCACAGCCUUUUCAAAUGGGCUUCGUUCACUUUGUAAUGUGUUCGUGUGGAUGUAAGUUUCCAGCUCAUCUGGGUAAGUAUGAAGGCAUGCGAUUGCUGGAUUAUGUGACAAGCAUGUGCUUAGUUUUGUAAGAAACCACCCAACUGUCUUC
This 302-nucleotide long non-coding RNA is filed under the name Pan troglodytes (chimpanzee). RNAcentral's name for it is "long non-coding RNA NONPTRT016519". Lineage: Eukaryota; Metazoa; Chordata; Mammalia; Primates; Hominidae. The record is from RNAcentral.